GUACUGCUGAAGAGUCCCAAACUGGGACGAAAUAGUUGUCCAGUAC
Molecule: non-coding RNA, 46 nt
Organism: Trichobilharzia regenti
Lineage: Eukaryota; Metazoa; Platyhelminthes; Trematoda; Strigeidida; Schistosomatidae
Source: Rfam